RNAcentral lists this long non-coding RNA (328 nucleotides) under Carica papaya (papaya). RNAcentral's name for it is "long non-coding RNA (CPAP_LNC002585)". The record is from RNAcentral. Lineage: Eukaryota; Viridiplantae; Streptophyta; Magnoliopsida; Brassicales; Caricaceae.
AUAAUGCCAGUAAGUGCGAUUUCUCUCAUUCCUCCUUUUUUUCCAUUCUAAGCUACCCAAAAAACUCUUUAAUACAAAAAAACCUGAGAAAGGCCGUAACCUGAUAAAACGGAGGGUAGAGCUUAACUGAGUCGCUGCAUCAAAAAUCGAAAAAUACUCUGGUAAGCCGAAUUCUCUUCCCGUUUAUUUUGUUUUCCUCACUCUUUAGCCGCAUAAUCUAUUUUCGAUGCAGGGCAACCGAAAAAGCCACGAGUCGCAAGAGAAAAUUAACAGAGCCCAGUUGAGCCACCGCAUCGAAGAUCAAAAAACACCGAUAAGCCUCAGUUUU